UACGGAGGGUGCGAGCGUUGUUCGGAAUUACUGGGCGUAAAGAGUGUGUAGGCGGUGCUCCCAGUCUGUUGUGAAAUCUCCCGGCUUAACUGGGAGGGUGCAGCGGAAACUAGAGUGCUAGAGGGUGGGAGAGGUAAGCGGAAUUCCUGGUGUAGCGGUGAAAUGCGUAGAUAUCAGGAGGAACACCUGUGGUGUAGACAGCUUACUGGACCACUUCUGACGCUGAGACACGAAAGCGUGGGUAGCAAACAGG
This 253-nucleotide ribosomal RNA is filed under the name uncultured bacterium. RNAcentral's name for it is "partial 16S ribosomal RNA". It matches the Rfam family "Bacterial small subunit ribosomal RNA", at positions 524 to 776 of the family's 1533-position model. The record is from RNAcentral.